GAUAAGGUGUCUGAAUUAGGUAAUAAACUGUAAAUUUAUUUAUGAGUAAAAACUCCCUUGUCA
Molecule: transfer RNA, 63 nt
Filed under: Conwentzia sinica
Lineage: Eukaryota; Metazoa; Arthropoda; Insecta; Neuroptera; Coniopterygidae
Description: tRNA-Tyr
Source: RNAcentral